AGCGAACGCUGGCGGCGUGCUUAACACAUGCAAGUCGAACGUGAAAUGUAGCAAUACAGAGUAAAGUGGCGUACGGGUGAGUAACACGUGGGUAAUCUACCAAAGUGCCUGGAAUAACCGGCCGAAAGGCUGGCUAAUACUAGAUAGUUCAAGCCAUCUGUAAGGGAUGGAUUGGGAAAGGGAGCGGGUAACCGCCUUCACAUUUUGAUGAGCCCGCGUCUGAUUAGGUAGUUGGUGAGGUAAUGGCUCACCAAGCCUGAGAUCAGUAGCUGGUCUGAGAGGAUGAUCAGCCACACUGGAACUGAAACACGGUCCAGACUCCUACGGGAGGCAGCAGUGGGGAAUCUUGCGCAAUGGACGAAAGUCUGACGCAGCCACGCCGCGUGAGUGAAGAAGGCCUCGGUUGUAAAGCUCUGUCGGAGGGACGAAAACGUUAAUAGGUUAAUAGUCCACUAGACUUGAUGGUACCUCCAAGGAAGACACCGGCGUAACUCGU
Molecule: ribosomal RNA, 496 nt
Filed under: uncultured bacterium
Lineage: Bacteria
Description: bacterial SSU rRNA
Rfam family: Bacterial small subunit ribosomal RNA
Source: RNAcentral